This 511-nucleotide long non-coding RNA is filed under the name Malus domestica (apple). RNAcentral describes it as "long non-coding RNA (MDOM_LNC000139)". The record is from RNAcentral. Lineage: Eukaryota; Viridiplantae; Streptophyta; Magnoliopsida; Rosales; Rosaceae.
ACUAUCAAACCAAACAAUGUGGUCAAGAGUAUUGUAUUAGAGAAAGACCAUAUUGCAUUUGUAAUCCUAAACUGAAUAGGUUCUCCACCUCUUCUGAUUAGCUUGGGUAACCAUGAUAUGCUGCUAGGUGUCACUCAUGGUUUGUGGAAGCCCUAAACGUGUAUAAUCACUAAAGGGAGAAUUGAAAGUAAGUUUCAAUUCACAAUCGAUUUGAAAUGGUUUUAAUCGCCCACUGCCUCGCUACAAGGAACCUAAUGGAUCGUACACCGUGUAAGGUAGAGAUUGAAGAAACAACGGAGAUGAGUAAGAAUAAUUAAAUGGUUUAAUUAUUUAUGGAAAGGAUUAAUUAAUAUGUUAAUUAAUCAAACGAAUAAGUUCGUUAAAAGACCACGGGUUAGUUUUGGGCCUCAAGGCCCAAUGGGCUUCGAACGUCAAGCCCAUUGACUUAAGUUGUAUGACAACUUAAUGACAAAUAAUUCACAAAGGCCUUAAAAUCCCAAUGAAACCCUAU